GUGAACGCUGGCGGUAGGCCUAACGCAUGCAAGUCGCACGGCAGCACAGUAAGAGCUUGCUCUUACGGGUGGCGAGUGGCGGACGGGUGCGGAAUACAUCGGAAUCUACUUUUUCGUGGGGGAUAACGUAGGGAAACUUACGCUAAUACCGCAUACGACCUCCGGGUGAAAGCAGGGGAUCUUCGGACCUUGCGCGAUUGAAUGAGCCGAUGUCGGAUUAGAUAGUUGGCGGGGUAAAGGCCCACCAAGGCGACGAUCCGUAGCUGGUCUGAGAGGAUGAUCAGCCACACUGGAACUGAGACACGGUCCAGACUCCUACGGGAGGCAGCAGUGGGGAAUAUUGGACAAUGGGCGCAAGCCUGAUCCAGCCAUACCGCGUGGGUGAAGAAGGCCUUCGGGUUGUAAAGCCCUUUUGUUGGGAAAGAAAAGCAGCAGGUUAAUACCCCGCUGUUCUGACGGUACCCAAAGAAUAAGCACCGGCUAACUUCGUG
RNAcentral lists this ribosomal RNA (491 nucleotides) under uncultured bacterium. RNAcentral describes it as "partial 16S ribosomal RNA". It matches the Rfam family "Bacterial small subunit ribosomal RNA", at positions 29 to 507 of the family's 1533-position model. The record is from RNAcentral.